This 207-nucleotide ribosomal RNA is filed under the name uncultured bacterium. RNAcentral's name for it is "partial 16S ribosomal RNA". It matches the Rfam family "Bacterial small subunit ribosomal RNA", at positions 568 to 774 of the family's 1533-position model. The record is from RNAcentral.
UGCGUAGGCCGCUAGGUGUGUCAGGUGUGAAAUCUCGGGGCUUAACCUCGAAACUGCGCCUGAAACUACCUAGCUUGAGUAUUGGAGAGGUAAGCGGAAUUUCUGGUGUAGCGGUGAAAUGCGUAGAUAUCAGAAGGAACACCAAUGGCGAAGGCAGCUUACUGGACAAUAACUGACGCUGAGGCACGAAAGCGUGGGUAGCGAAAG